Molecule: ribosomal RNA, 253 nt
Filed under: uncultured bacterium
Lineage: Bacteria
Description: partial 16S ribosomal RNA
Rfam family: Bacterial small subunit ribosomal RNA
Source: RNAcentral
UACAGAGGGGGCAAGCGUUAUUCGGAAUUAUUGGGCGUAAAGCGCUCGCAGGUGGUUCAUUGCGUCGUGCGUGAAAGACCCCGGCUCAACUGGGGAGGGUCGUGCGAAACGGGUGAACUAGAGGCCAGUAGGGGGAUGCGGAAUUCCGGGUGUAGUGGUGGAAUGCGUAGAGAUCCGGAGGAACACCAGCGGCGAAGGCGGCAUCCUGGACUGGUCCUGACACUCAGGAGCGAAAGCGUGGGGAGCGAUCCGG